CCUACGGGUGGCAGCAGUAGGGAAUAUUGCUCAAUGGGGGAAACCCUGAAGCAGCAACGCCGCGUGGAGGAUGAAGGUUUUAGGAUUUUUAACUCCUUUUGUUAGAGGAGAUUAUGACGGUAUCUGACGAAUAAGCACCGGAUAACUGCGGGCCAGUAGCCGCGGUAAUACGGAGGGUGCAAGCGUUACUCGGAAUCACUGGGCGUAAAGAGGGCGUAGGCGGGGUAAUAAGUCAGAUGUGAAAUCCUGUAGCUUAACUACAGAACUGCAUUUGAAACUGGUACUCUGGAGUGUGGGAGAGGUAGGUGGAAUUCGUGGUGUAGGGGUAAAAUCCGUAGAGAUCAAGAGGAACACUCAUUGCGAAGGCGACCUGCUGGAACAUUACUGACGCUGAUGCACGAAAGCGUGGGGAGCAAACAGGAUUAGAUACCCUAGUAGUC
RNAcentral lists this ribosomal RNA (440 nucleotides) under uncultured bacterium. Its description in RNAcentral is "partial 16S ribosomal RNA". It matches the Rfam family "Bacterial small subunit ribosomal RNA", at positions 338 to 795 of the family's 1533-position model. The record is from RNAcentral.